UACGGAGGGUGCAAGCGUUAAUCGGAAUCACUGGGCGUAAAGCGCGCGUAGGCGGUGGUGUAAGUCAGAUGUGAAAGCCCUCGGCUCAACCGGGGAAUUGCAUUUGAUACUGCAUCACUUGAGUACUGGAGAGGAUGGCGGAAUUCCAGGUGUAGGAGUGAAAUCCGUAGAUAUCUGGAGGAACACCAGUGGCGAAGGCGGCCAUCUGGACAGUAACUGACGCUGAGGUGCGAAAGCGUGGGUAGCAAACAGG
This 253-nucleotide ribosomal RNA is filed under the name uncultured bacterium. Its description in RNAcentral is "partial 16S ribosomal RNA". It matches the Rfam family "Bacterial small subunit ribosomal RNA", at positions 524 to 776 of the family's 1533-position model. The record is from RNAcentral.